GUUCUUCCCUUACGAGUAACGGAUUAACUAAAGGCACACCAAGUGUGUUACCAGAAGCAAAAGUGAGCAUUUGCAUAACUGUUCCUCCCCAUGGUGAGGCCAAUGCUAUAAAGUGUUUGAUGUACUUUUGACUCCAGCAUUUUGGAUUACGAACGAGUAGUUGCUGGACAUAUAGACCACCUAAGCUGUGAGAAACAAGAAUUACAGGUUUACCUCCAUUUGAAUUACUUGCACUUUCUAUCAGUUCUUUCAAGUCCUCGAGAUAUUUCGAACCAACAUGACUUUGAUGACCUUCUGCAGCCAAACCAUAACGAAAAUCGUAGGGUGCUCCAAACAGAUUUGCACCAUCUCUAUAGCCUAUUUCUUCCAAAGCUUUCACAAGUGGCUCCAUAUAUGCUGUAAUUUUCUGUAG
RNAcentral lists this unclassified non-coding RNA (412 nucleotides) under Hevea brasiliensis (rubber tree). Lineage: Eukaryota; Viridiplantae; Streptophyta; Magnoliopsida; Malpighiales; Euphorbiaceae. The record is from RNAcentral.